CAGUUCCUCAGUUCCUCCUGUCGUUAUAUAUAUAUUUAGCUUUUGUAUUUGAAAAAUACAAAGCCAAAAUGCAGUUCUAUGAUAACUUCAGCAAAAAUUUCAACGAAAUACGACAUCUAGGCAUGGCCUUAUAUGGUGGCUGGCAGUGGAUAAUUUUUGGUGGAAAACCGACCUACCAUAAAGAGAAACGACGAAAUGAACGCGUACGUGACAAUAAAAUGAAAUGUGUAAAGGC
Molecule: non-coding RNA, 235 nt
Organism: Drosophila virilis
Lineage: Eukaryota; Metazoa; Arthropoda; Insecta; Diptera; Drosophilidae
Source: RefSeq, a predicted model, not a curated record